ACGGGGCCCGCACAAGCGGAGGAACAUGUGGUUUAAUUCGAUGGUACGCGAGGAACCUUACCUGGGUUUGACAUACGGAGGGAAGUGGCAGCGAUGUCACUGUGUCGCGAGACGACUCCGUACAGGUGCCGCAUGGCUGUCGUCAGCUCGUGCCGUGAGGUGUUGGGUUAAGUCCCGCAACGAGCGCAACCCCUACUGCCAGUUACUAACAGGUGAAGCUGAGGACUCUGGCGGAACUGCCUGUGACAAACCGGAGGAAGGUGGGAUGACGUCAAGUCAUCAUGGCCCUUAUGUCCAGGGCUACACACGUGCUACAAUGGGCGAGACAGAGCGACGCGAAGCCGCGAGGUGGAGCAAAUCGCAGAAAAUCGCCCUCAGUUCGGAUUGGAGUCUGAAACCCGACUCCAUGAAGGUGGAAUCGCUAGUAAUCGCGCAUCAGCAUGGCGCGGUGAAUACGUUCCCGGGCCUU
This 469-nucleotide ribosomal RNA is filed under the name uncultured Spirochaetaceae bacterium. Its description in RNAcentral is "bacterial SSU rRNA". It matches the Rfam family "Bacterial small subunit ribosomal RNA", at positions 916 to 1381 of the family's 1533-position model. The record is from RNAcentral. Lineage: Bacteria; Pseudomonadati; Spirochaetota; Spirochaetia; Spirochaetales; Spirochaetaceae.